Andrographis paniculata is the source of this 3852-nucleotide RNA transcript. RefSeq lists it as uncharacterized. The record is from RefSeq and is a predicted model, not a curated record. Lineage: Eukaryota; Viridiplantae; Streptophyta; Magnoliopsida; Lamiales; Acanthaceae. The transcript is spliced from 10 exons.
ACAUUACACAACCACAGCGCCGCCGUGAAGUUCUUCCCCUCUCUCCCUCUCCUUCUUCCUCUGUUUUUUGUGUUUUUUUCCUCCUUUUUCUUCUUCUUCUUCGUCUCCAUCCAUUUUCCUGCGCCACCGCCCGGUGAAGUAUGCCGUUCAAUAACAUCUUGCCGCCGACCUUUGGUUCCCUGUCGACGAGCAAGAUUCCCCUGUGCUAUCGGUAAGCGUUGGCGUAGAGGCGAAAAUUGUGGAAUUGGAAUGGGAAGAGAUUAACUAAGGAGUAAAAGCAAGAGUCAAAUGCCACUUGCCCUCCUCCGCUCUGCCCUGUGACGUCGGUGAGUAGAUUUUGGGAGGUUUUGUUUGCUAAGUGAAAUAGGAAAGGGAAAAGGAACACACCCUUCCAUUCCAUUCUACAGAAUGUCGAACCCCGAUGAAAGCUUCUCUCAGUUUGACAUCUCCGAGCAUGAGAAGGACAAAUUAGUUGGGGAAGUGAUUCGCUACAUUCUCUUCAAAUACGAACAGAAUUCAAAUUGUCCGAUAAAAAGGGAGGAACUGACACAGUUGAUAACCAGGAAAGGAUAUAAGCAGAGGACAUUGCCUGCUUUCGUAAUCGAUGAGGCGAAACGCAAACUAUCCUCCAUUUUUGGCUAUGAAAUGAGAGAGCUUCAGCGACCCAGGGCUGCCGGCCGUGCUUCACAGUCACAUCUUUCAGCGGAGGCAAAAUCGUACAUAAUCAUAAGCCAGCUCUCAGCAGAUAUCUACAGAAAAUUUGUCGAGGAUCCACGUUCCUCCCCCACAUCGGGUUUUACUUUUGUUGUUGUUGGCAUCAUUCACCUUGGUGGGGGCAAACUCUCUGAAGAAAAUCUUUGGCAUCAUCUGAUGCGGCUGGGACUGCACAAAAAUGAUGAAAAUCAUCCUGAAUUUGGGAACAUCAAACUUGCACUAGAAACACUUGUCCAACAAAGAUUCUUGCAGAAAGAAAAGGUCAGUGGCCCAGAAGGUACCACUCUAUAUUAUGAACUUGCAGAGAGAGCUCUAGAUGGAGCAGUUUAUGACAAGAUCAAAGAUUACGUAUCUCAGAUUGUGCAAAAGGACGCCACGGCAUUAGAGGCUGAAUAAUUUCCUAUGGUUCACUAAGCUUCUUUUCUCUGCACAACCUCUACUCAUAGAAACAGAUGAUGAAUAGUGGCCAGAGCAAUAUUGAUAUUCUGCUAUAUUGGGAUGGUAACAUUAUACGAAAGUCGGAUACAGUAGAAUAUGAUUGUGAUCCACAGUGUAUGACAGUUGUUCGGCGAGAUAGUACAUUUGAAGAUUUAGAAAGUUAGAUUUACAAUUUGACUGGAAAAAAUCGGAUGCAAUAUUCUCUGAUUUUGAAAAUGCCUUAUAGUUGGACGAAUGGAUAAGAUAAUCAGAGAAUGAGACUUAUUACUAUGAAUGACUUCAAUCUGCAGCACUUUUUAAAUCUAUAAAAUAGUUAUCAAUGUUUGGAGUUGUUUGUUGAAUUUCAACUGAAUGAUACAAGUGCGGUUGUAGAGACAACAUAUGUGAAUCCCAACAUAAGGCUUGAGCAAACAGAAGAUGAUAUACACAUAUUAGAUGCAGAUUGUCAAGGAGUUGGAGAAGAUAAAUCUAGUGAAUCAGAAUCAAUUUCAUGCUCAGAUGAUGAAAUAGAGAUAUUUGGAAAUUGUGAAAAAGGGGUUGUGGAUGCUACUGCAUUAUGGAAAGAGUCAAGGCCAUCGGGAUCUCCUAAAUCAGGUACAAUUCUACAUUCAGGUAGUCAAAAUGAAUAUCAGUUGAUUGAAUAUUUUCAGAAGUUGCCUGAGGAGGAGUUUCAACAAGACACAUAUGGCACUUUCAAUCGUAGAUGGGAUGUUUACACAAAAAGUAGUGGUGCUCUUAUUUCUGGGAUGGUAUUCAAAGAUAAAAAACAAAUGCAAAUGGCCGUUAAGGAUUAUUCAAUUCGUGUGGUUGGGAGGGAAUAUAUUGUGACAAAGAGCAAUCGUAUGGUCUUCAGAGUAAAGUGUAAGCACUACGGAAAAAAUGGUUGCGGGUGGGGUGUGACUGCAUCAUAUAAACCACAUUUAGAAUGUUGGCAGUUAAUUACGGUGAUGCCCGACCACACGUGUAUCCCAGAUGAUGUAUCGUUGGGACACAGAAACUUGGAUGUUAACAUGAUAGCAAAUUUACUAAAAGAGUUUGUAAGAAGAAAUCCGGCAUAUGAGUUAGAAAAUGUGGAGAGAGCGGUGAAGAUAGAAUUUGGGUUUGAUAUUUCUUAUUCAAAGGCCAGCAUGGCUUGAAAAGGGCUAUUGAAGAUGUUUAUGGGACAUGGGAGAGUUCAGUGCAAGAACUCCCAACCUAUAUGGAAACUCUUCAAAAGUAUGUAUCAAAUACUAUUGUUGAGUGGUCACAUGUAGAAACGGCACAUCGAGAAGAGUACACACUUGGCUAUGUGUUUUAGGCAUUUGGACCUUGCAUUGAAGCUUAUCGUCAUUGUCGUAAUGUGAUUAGUGUGGAUGGAACUCAUCUAUAUGCAAAAUACAAGCAUGUGAUGUUGAUUGCCGCUACUAUAGAUGCUAACCACCAUGUGCUGCCAUUAGCAUUUGCCAUUGUUGAUACUGAAUCUUGGUUAUGGUUUCUUCAGUUAGUAAGCGGAUAUAUUGUGCAGGAUCGGUAUCACAUGUGUCUCAUAUCUGAUAGACAUGUUGGGAUAACAAGUGCAGUUGAGCGUAUUCCUGUUUUCCACCCUCCUCGUGGCCGACAUCGAUUUUGCCUUAGACAUGUAUGUUCCAACUUCAACCAAUACGUUAAAGAUGUAAGACUGAAGGAUAUGUGUUGGAGGGCAGGGGCAUCCAUUGAUCCAUUGGAGUUUAAUGAAACAACUUCUAAAUCAAGCAGCUUAUGAUUGGCUUAACAGAAUUGACAAGAGCAAAUGGGCCAUUGCAUAUGACGAAGAGUGGCGACAUGGUAUACUAACAACCAAUUUGUCCGAAUGCAUUAAUGGUGUAUUAAAAGGGGCACGACGACUACCGAUCACUGCUCUCGUACAGUUGACAUACGAUCGUGUGGUUUCAUUUUUUGUUAAGAGGGUGCAUGAUACUCGAGAUAAACAAGAAUCCGGCUAUGAAUGGUCACCUUGGGCACGAACAAGAUAUAUAGACUCGGAGCGGAAGAGCCGGAAAAAUAUGGGUGUGGUGAUAAAUGAGGAUGAAUAUGAGGCAAAAGUGUUUACACUAGACAGUAUUGGCCAGAGAUCAAAGGAACAUAUUGUUUCAAUCAAGAGAGAUUUUUGCUCAUGUGGUGGAUGGGCGUUAGAUGGGGUGCCAUGUUCACACAUUUUAGAAACAUGUCGUAUGUUCCAUUUGAAUGGAAAGCGAUAUGUGCGUGACUAUUAUUCGAUUGAUUCAUGGAUAAACACGUACAUCGUCCCUUUCCAUGCAUAUCCGGAUAAGUCACUUUGGGAACCAGCCUCAUUUAAGUUGGUGCAUAAUCCUUCGCGACGUAAAAUUAAGAGAAGAGGAGGUGAUCGCACUACACGUAUUCGGAAUGAAAUGGAUCGUGGCCAGAAACAAGCAAGGCGACAAGCAAAUGAAAAUUAAGGUAGGAUGCAAGUGAUUUUAUUGCAAUAUAAGGAUUCAAGUAUGAAUUUUAUUGAAGCAAAAACAAACAUGGAGCCCGGUUGUCUUUCAAAGGCAUGCCCAAAUAAUCAGAUGCAAAAGGCUACAUGAGCUGCUUCGAACAUCGGCUGCAUAGAAGAGUUUCUGAUUUGUAGCGAGUCAUUUUAUUAGCUUACAUAUAAUGUUGGUACAUUGAAGUUUCCAUGGCUUACUGACCUGCAUGUUAUGUUUAUACCACAGAACAUUA